AGUCCUAUGAAUGACACUCAGGUUUAUACAUGGAAAGUGCUUUGUAGUUCAUGUAUUUAUCAAACAGUACGAAAAAAAGAAAAAAGAUGCAGUGUUUACAGGUGUCAGCUCUCAACACAUAAACACUACUAUUAAUCUUCAAAGCAUCUUCAUCCUUUUUUUUUUUUGUUUUGUUUUUUUGGUUGUUUUUUUGUUGUUGUUGUUUAUUCCCACAUUAUUUAAGUGGAACUCUCUUCCAGAUGCAGUUUUUGUCACCACGGUCCACAGCAUCAGGAAGGCAAAAGCUAGAGUGGCUCAAAGGGUGUCCUCUCUGGGUUCAAUGUAUGGAUUUAGAAGGCAGCUUGAUGAGAGCUUGAUGAGAUCCACGUUCACCCAAGUGGCCAAAGUACAAUGUCAACGCCAAGCACCGCGGCGCAGAGCCCCGUGCCCAUCCUGAAGCCAGCUUUUGCUGCUUUUGCUCUUCUGCAAGACCCCAGGUUGGGGGCAGAACCUCAGCCCUGAGCCUUGACAACCCCUUCUAUCCCCACAAACAUGGAUUUGGUGGCACUGAGCUUGCGAGAAAGCACAGAUUUGCUCCCUGCAUGCCAGGAGCGACGUUUAACUUGAUCCAUCCAACUUAGAGUAAGCUUGUUGGCAUCUCUUCUAUUCCUGCUCCCUCUUUAUCUCCAUUUGGGAAUGCUGUGAGGAGGGGAGGGAGCGCUUUGGGGUUGGGAACGGGGCCACGGGAAGGGGAGGGAGGGAUGAGCAUCCCCCAUUUUUUAGCCAUGCUGUUGGAAUUUCGGUCACCUCCAUGCUUUUUCUGUUGCUGGCCAUUCGAAUGAGGCGAGUUUCCCAUGCUGGGAAUACAACAGUGUUGUGGAUGUGCUGUUUUUUUCCUCUUCUGCGUCAGGUUUCGUUGCAUUCGUAACGUUCUAACACUACACAUGGACGAUGUUGUGCGUCUUCCAGGUACUGUAGUUCUGUAGGCAUUCCCUCUGCACUUCUCAUUGACUCCACAAACCUCACCAGAAGACAAGGACAGAAGCUGUGGAGGAGUGUAACACACGUCGGUCCAUUUUUAAAAAAAAAGGAAAGAAAGCAAAAAGAACAUAAAAACAGGUUUUAUAUUACUCUGAAAUUUGUGCACAAUAAAUGUUCUUUACACUAGGGUCCUUGAAUUAAU
Molecule: long non-coding RNA, 1162 nt
Filed under: Numida meleagris (helmeted guineafowl)
Lineage: Eukaryota; Metazoa; Chordata; Aves; Galliformes; Numididae
Description: lncRNA (ENSNMEG00000005415.1)
Source: RNAcentral